AAAGUCGUAACAAGGUUUCCGUAGGUGAACCUGCGGAAGGAUCAUUAGAAUAUUACGGGAAAUUAUUUAAUUUAUUUAUUUCCCUGAUGUCUUAUUCAAAAAAUUUUCAUAUCUUAUCUUAAUCUUUAAAAAAAAAUCAAUUAUAUAUUAAGACAACUUUCAACAACGGAUCUCUUGGCUCUU
This 183-nucleotide unclassified non-coding RNA is filed under the name Glomeromycotina sp. RNAcentral describes it as "partial contains small subunit ribosomal RNA, internal transcribed spacer 1, and 5.8S ribosomal RNA". The stretch from base 1 to 47 matches the Rfam family "Eukaryotic small subunit ribosomal RNA", at positions 1785 to 1831 of the family's 1831-position model. The record is from RNAcentral. Lineage: Eukaryota; Fungi; Glomeromycota.